AGGCAGAGGAAAGCACAUGUGAGACACAAGGAGAAUGUGGCCAUCGACAAGCCGAGGAGAGAGACCACAAGAGAAUCCAAACCUCGCAACACCUUGAUCCUGGACUUCUGGCCUCCAGAAUGCCGAGGAAAUAAAUUUCUGUUGUUUAAGACACUCAGUCUGUGGUCCUCUGUUACGGCAGCCCUCGAAACUGACACGGAUACCCAAGACGCCCUUCGGUUCCACCAUCCCAGAAUCCUCUCUCCUCUCAAGGAAGGUAAAAAUACAAAAUAUCCUAAGCAACAAUGUAAGUGUUUGUAAAAUGCAUUGUAUUUCAUUAGUUCUCAAACAAUUAGCUGAUUAACAGUAACAAAUCAAGUCCUAUAUAAAGAAUUUUUUAUUCUCUUUUAAGGCUCAGUUGCUCAGUACUGAGAUCAACCUUUAAGUGCACAGAUUUAAAACUGUUUGUUUCUCAAUAAGCAACCUAUGAAACCGUCCCUGAGAUUUUACUUCACCGCAUUUCUGGAGUGACACUUAGCCGAGUGCCAGGCUCUGCUUAGACCCCACGCAAGGGACGGGAGGAACGGAAGCAGCCCAUGUGGAGGCAGCUACGGACCUGCUGGUCCCACCGGAGCGCCUCGACCUCCAGGGAGGCGCCUAGGCCCUGCAAACCUUAUGAACCAUAUCUCGUUGAGUGCCUCAGGAAUCUGAAUGUGAACAAAUGACGCCCCAGCUGUUACACCGAGUAUCAGCUCGCAGAUUCCCGAAGGGUCGGACUCGCUGGGUUGGACAGGCUGACAAACUUUAAACAAAGGCCUUCCCAAAUGUCAUGACUACUCAUCCCAGGAGAGCAAUAAUGAGAGAAAACAUCAGUAGCAGUGCUGUAACUAUUAACGGUGUUUGCAUGCCUUUGUGAUUGCACAUCACAAUAGCCAAGACUCGGGAAUUUGGGGAGGCAAGGUGCUAGCGAAAGGAUUGUCUGUUUGGGGUAGCUCACUAUGGUAAUAAGACCGGCUCUAUUAGCUGGUCAUUUAAAAACUUCUACGGAACUUGAUUGCCUUCCAGUGAAAUACUUCAUUUAAUUUCCCCAUAAUCCACUCCCUCUCCUGCCCAUCACACCUUUAAUAACCCUACGUCAUAUGCUCAUUAAUCUUUCUACUUUUACAUCAUAGAGUUUUACAUUUUAAUAUUAGAGCUGGUCAUCUUGUUAGUUUGAUUUAUUGUUUUCCUCUUUCAAAAAGUCCACCCUCUUUUUCUAUGUACUAUAAAUAACAAGCGUGGCUCCGGCUUGAAUAACGGAGCUGUAAUUCAGGCUGGGGGCUUAGCUGCCAUUCCUAAAGCCUCGAGCCGCACCCCUGGGGAUCGCGGUGUCAGUAGAGGCUGGUGAUUGAAAUACAGCCCUGCAGUCAAUCAGGAACCGUGUGCUAUUCAAAGUAUUUCUACAAAUGACAAGUUAUUAAUGCUUUGAAAUGGAAGUCAGAACUAUAGUAGAUCAGAUGUUAGUUUAAUGAGGAUAGCUAUUUUUUUCCUACUUAAUGAGGUAGGAGUCUUUUUUUCUAUUUCUUAAAGAAAUAAAUCAUGGGCAAUAAAUAAAAGAAACCUCUUAGGUAGUCAAGCUUUAUUGUUAUUGUUGUUGUUACUGUUAUUUAUAAUAUUGCACAGGGUUCUUUGCAAAACACAUUCAUUUUUAGAGUACUAAAAAAAGUAAAAAGAAUAAAACAAAAACUAGAGAGUAACCAGGGAGGGAGGGAAAGAGGAUGAACGAUUCUUUGAAUGCUGUCCUAGAGUUCCAGUCAUGUCAUAAUCAAAUUUCAUGAUUUUAGAUACCGUUGAAGAGCUAUGGAUAUGAGCACUUGGCAAAUGACAAAAUAAAAUUAGACAACUAAAUUAUAAGCCUUAAGAUGUCAAGUCAAAUAGAGCCAUAUAUCUCGGUCAUUAAUCUCAGGAAAAUAGGCCAGAGCUGCAGAAU
Molecule: long non-coding RNA, 1948 nt
Filed under: Equus caballus (horse)
Lineage: Eukaryota; Metazoa; Chordata; Mammalia; Perissodactyla; Equidae
Description: lncRNA (ENSECAG00000055702.1)
Source: RNAcentral